This is a long non-coding RNA of Mus musculus (house mouse), 652 nucleotides long. RefSeq annotates it as predicted gene, 36282. The record is from RefSeq and is a predicted model, not a curated record. The transcript has 5 exons. Lineage: Eukaryota; Metazoa; Chordata; Mammalia; Rodentia; Muridae.
GGGAGAGAAACAAAAGACCUCAAAUUUGGAAGAGAACAAGUGGUUCAAACAGAUGGUAGUCUGGGAGUCAAUGUGGUGGUUUUGGUGAGGCUGGGAUCACUAGGUAGGAGCCGGGGAGACUGGGUAGUGAAGGCAACAGAGGUGCUUUUAGCAAGCUCUCCAAGAGACUUGUGUGUUUACGUAUCUCAUUGAAUAUACUUGACUCACGUAGCUACUUCUGGAUGAAAGAGUCUCAAAGGAACCCAUCGAGUAUAAUUUGUGUUGUCCAGCUACUUUCAAGGGUGGAGCCUACUUGGAGCAUGUUCAAGCUUACCAGGAUCAUGCUAUUAAAGAACAUUGACUCCCCUUCCAGCAGCUAUCAAAUGUCAAUAACUGCUUAGUUUGUGGUCUGGGCUACAGAUGAACGGAUAAAGACAUAUAAUAUUGCCAGGGAGAGGGCUGUCUCAGUGGUUGUUCUUGGUUCUUCUUGAGGCAACGGAGGGGGAAGAGCAUCUGCGGGGUAAUACUUGGUCUUCCAAGAUAUUUGGGGUUGAUGGACAAUAAUAAACUGUUUCCUUGCCUUAAGUCUAAGCCACUUUGUUGUGGUAGCUGACCUGCUUGUCUGAGUUUCUCUGAGGCCAGAAACUGUUUAGCACCUCAUCAUAAAACAAUG